AGACGCGCGUGCAUACGUCAUGCGCCAGACAAGCCGCAGGAGUGAGCGAGGCCGGCUGCGCAUGUGAAGCUCGCGUGCUCGGCGACCCGUCUCUUUUGGAUGCAGCCCGUUUUUUUGGGCUCCCGGCGUUCUCUUUUGUUCCGUCUGCAUUUCGACACGGCACCGCUGCACUACUGGACUACAGCAAGCUGAUGGCAUCCGGUGGAGCAUCGUACUGCAACGACUGCUGCUUACCUGGUGCCGCAACUUUGGAUGAAUGCAGAAGCCCGGAACGAGCAUUUAUAUAGAGCAAAAUAAACAUUUCUUCAUUUCAGAA
Molecule: long non-coding RNA, 316 nt
Filed under: Dermacentor andersoni
Lineage: Eukaryota; Metazoa; Arthropoda; Arachnida; Ixodida; Ixodidae
Description: uncharacterized LOC126532434
Source: RNAcentral